RNAcentral lists this ribosomal RNA (280 nucleotides) under uncultured Streptococcus sp. RNAcentral's name for it is "partial 16S ribosomal RNA". It matches the Rfam family "Bacterial small subunit ribosomal RNA", at positions 1098 to 1382 of the family's 1533-position model. Lineage: Bacteria; Bacillati; Bacillota; Bacilli; Lactobacillales; Streptococcaceae. The record is from RNAcentral.
CAACCCUAUUGUUAGUUGCCAUCAUUCAGUUGGGCACUCUAGCGAGACUGCCGGUAAUAAACCGGAGGAAGGUGGGAUGACGUCAAAUCAUCAUGCCCCUUAUGACCUGGGCUACACACGUGCUACAAUGGUUGGUACAACGAGUUGCGAGUCGGUGACGGCGAGCUAAUCUCUUAAAGCCAAUCUCAGUUCGGAUUGUAGGCUGCAACUCGCCUACAUGAAGUCGGAAUCGCUAGUAAUCGCGGAUCAGCACGCCGCGGUGAAUACGUUCCCGGGCCUU